AUUGAACGCUGGCGGCAUGCCUUACACAUGCAAGUCGAACGGUAACAGGUCUUCGGAUGCUGACGAGUGGCGAACGGGUGAGUAAUACAUCGGAACGUGCCCAAUCGUGGGGGAUAACGCAGCGAAAGCUGUGCUAAUACCGCAUACGACCUGAGGGUGAAAGUGGGGGACCGCAAGGCCUCAUGCUAUAGGAGCGGCCGAUGUCUGAUUAGCUAGUUGGUGGGGUAAAGGCCUACCAAGGCGACGAUCAGUAGCUGGUCUGAGAGGACGAUCAGCCACACUGGGACUGAGACACGGCCCAGACUCCUACGGGAGGCAGCAGUGGGGAAUUUUGGACAAUGGGCGAAAGCCUGAUCCAGCAAUGCCGCGUGUGUGAAGAAGGCCUUCGGGUUGUAAAGCACUUUUGUACGGAGCGAAAAGGUCUCUUCUAAUACAGGAGGCCCAUGACGGUACCGUAAGAAUAAGCACCGGCUAACUACGUGCCAGCAGCCGCGGUAA
This 498-nucleotide ribosomal RNA is filed under the name uncultured bacterium. RNAcentral describes it as "partial 16S ribosomal RNA". It matches the Rfam family "Bacterial small subunit ribosomal RNA", at positions 30 to 523 of the family's 1533-position model. The record is from RNAcentral.